AACAGCCCACCGGUGAACUUUACUGUCAAUGUCCACAACUACGACAAAGGAUACUACAUGGGUGACGGUAUAUAUCCUCAGUGGACCACUAUUGUCAAGACAAUACCCAACCAUGUCGGAGAGAAGAGGAAAAGAUUUUCCCAAAAGCAAGAGAGUGCUAGGAAGGAUGUCGAGCGUGCCUUUGGUGUUUUGCAAUCUCGAUGGAGCAUCGUUCGGUGUCCUGCUAAUACCUGGAGCACGCAGAAACUGUGGGAGGUGAUGACUGCUUGUGUGAUUAUGCACAAUAUGAUCGUAGAAGACGAGUGCCCGAAAUGU
RNAcentral lists this ribosomal RNA (315 nucleotides) under Triticum aestivum (bread wheat). RNAcentral describes it as "partial small subunit ribosomal RNA". The record is from RNAcentral. Lineage: Eukaryota; Viridiplantae; Streptophyta; Magnoliopsida; Poales; Poaceae.